GUGGAAGUAGUUCAGUGGUAGAGCGUCAGAUUGUGGAUCUGAUUGUCGAGGGUUCGAACCCCUUCUUCCACC
RNAcentral lists this transfer RNA (72 nucleotides) under Candidatus Physcosoma equi. Its description in RNAcentral is "tRNA-His". It matches the Rfam family "tRNA". Rfam says of the family: Transfer RNA (tRNA) molecules are approximately 80 nucleotides in length. Lineage: Bacteria; Pseudomonadati; Spirochaetota; Spirochaetia; Spirochaetales; Sphaerochaetaceae. The record is from RNAcentral.